GCAGUCUGCAACUCGACUGCGUGAAGGUGGAGUCGCUAGUAAUCGCGGAUCAGCAACGCCGCGGUGAAUGCGUUCCCGGGCCUUGUACACACCGCCCGUCACACCAUGGAAGUCUGCAAUGCCCGAAGCCGGUGGCCUAACCACUUAUGUGGAAGGAGCCGUCUAAGGCAGGGCAGAUGACUGGGGUGAAGUCGUAACAAGGUAUC
This 206-nucleotide ribosomal RNA is filed under the name uncultured bacterium. RNAcentral's name for it is "partial 16S ribosomal RNA". It matches the Rfam family "Bacterial small subunit ribosomal RNA", at positions 1300 to 1500 of the family's 1533-position model. The record is from RNAcentral.